UGGCGGCGGGGUCGGGCUGGGUGUCAGUGACCCUCGAACGGCAGCUGCCAGUGGAAAUGCGCUUCUCGGUGAGAGCUCAGCGCAUCGACUGAACCGAGCCAACGUUACAAAUCUUAGUCUCGGUCCCAGCCAGUUGAAGUAUGCAUAGCGAUCUCUGCAGUGAGUAACCCAGCCGUCCACUGAGACUGAUGCAGAGCUGGCUUGCAGCUAUUGCAUGUUCUUGUUCCAGACUCCCAAGCUGCCUUUCCGCGACGAGAAGCCCCCCCACCUCUGCACGGCAAGUUAGCAAGAACCUAUACGGAGGAGCUGCUGAGAGACUUUCUAAGUGCCAGUUCUACAGUGGUCAAACUUUGGAGUGCAGUAGAAGAAAUGACUUCACCAUAUUCAGCUGUACUGGUUGUUAUUUCUGGAUGUUACAUACUUCAUGAAAUCUGAUUAAUUAUUAUUGUUUUUUUAAUACACAUAACUCCACUGGGUAAAUUUUCUAAAACAUUUAUUUUUAUUGCUUAUAUAACUACCUAAAAUGUUUUUCUUGGUAGACAAAUGUACUGUUUUUGCCAAACCAGAUUUUGUUUCAAUUUUGGGAACUUGUUGGAAAGCUAGUAUUCCCAUUUUCAAUGGUGCCUAUGCCAUGUUAUUAAAGUAGGUUUCAUGGAGAUGAAAAAUGUUUCUUGACAAGAAUCAUAACCAUUCGUUUACACUAACUAACUAUAUGGCUCUAUUCCAUUUGGAAUUCAGUGUCAUUCCUCUUAUACAGUGAUGCUUACCCAUUACCUCUUAGCUGUCUCUAAGCCUUCAGUGGUCUCCAUUGUACACAUCUCAAAUAUUUCAUGCCUGUGUCUGGCCCUCCAUGUUCCGGAAGAGACAUAGACUUGUGCUGGACCUGUGAAUACUCCUGUUUUGAUGCAUUUGAGGAAGUGGAGCCACCAGGAUCACUGAAAAGAUGGGAUUGCUAAGAGAAUUCUGGAAGAAAUUUCUUUAUCUGUGUAGUCCAGCAGGAAACCACAUUAUAUAAACUGAGCAAGUAUCUUUCUAAAAGUAGAUAGGGUUCUUGCCAUUAGUAUUUCUAAUACAAAGUGAUUAGAAACCUUGUAAUUCCCAGCCUAAAUGUGGUAGUGAUAGGUUUUAUACUCACUCACUCUUCUGGAAAAUAUGUGUAAGCCUAAGCAGCUAUUUUCAUAUUUUUUGCUUGAUGGAUUUGUAGUCAAAGAAAGUCUCUCGUGAGCCUUUGUUUUGCUUGAAUAAGUAAGACAUGUUCUUAAGUUUCCUGUCAUAAGACAUUCUUUUCAUUUAUCUUGCCAUUCUCUUAGACUUUCCACACACAGAUUCAAGCCUGACUUCACUCUGAAUGUGACUUGUACAAAAUAGUCCAGGUAAUGCAUUACUGAUGCUUUGUGGAAUUUACUGGCUUCAUUUAUCUCUCUUGGAACUUUGCUGGUACCUCCCAGGAUCAUGGUUGCAUUUUCUUGCAGAAAUGAUUUCUUAAAAUUUUGGGAUCAGCUUUUUUUCCUCAUUUUUUUCCUCAAUGGUUUCCAAAUGACUGAAAAUUGAGAAACAUAAAGCAUUUUACUGUUUUUACUAGUCCACUUUGCGUGCCUGUUGCUCAUGUUCUGGUCAUUUUGUUUCCCCUGUGUGAUGUCUACUGACUUCACAUUGUCAUCAGAGUGAUGUGAAGGAUAUUGAUAGAAACACUAAGUAAAAUUAGGCCCAAGACUGAUCUUCCAGGGAGUCACCAUUACUAUCUUUUAACCUGAUACUGUUCCUUUUCAGUAUGAUGUAUGGUUAUCUCACUUUUAUUAGUUUUUUGUUCACCAUGUUUCCUAUGCCAAUACCAUUGUCUCCACCUUACUUCAUACUUUUGCAUGUAAUGUCACAUCAAAAGCUA
This is a long non-coding RNA of Pogoniulus pusillus (Red-fronted tinkerbird), 1885 nucleotides long. RefSeq lists it as uncharacterized. The transcript is spliced from 2 exons. NCBI's taxonomy places the organism in Eukaryota, Metazoa, Chordata, Aves, Piciformes, Lybiidae. The record is from RefSeq and is a predicted model, not a curated record.